AACGAACGCUGGCGGCAUGCCUAACACAUGCAAGUCGAACGAGACCUUCGGGUCUAGUGGCGCACGGGUGCGUAACGCGUGGGAACCUGCCUUUAGGUUCGGAAUAACUCAGAGAAAUUUGAGCUAAUACCGGAUAAUGUCUUCGGACCAAAGAUUUAUCGCCUUUAGAUGGGCCCGCGUUGGAUUAGCUAGUUGGUGGGGUAAAGCCUACCAAGGCGACGAUCCAUAGCUGGUCUGAGAGGAUGAUCAGCCACACUGGGACUGAGACACGGCCCAGACUCCUACGGGAGGCAGCAGUGGGGAAUAUUGGACAAUGGGCGAAAGCCUGAUCCAGCAAUGCCGCGUGAGUGAUGAAGGCCUUAGGGUUGUAAGCUCUUUACCCGUAGAUGAUAAUGACAGUAU
RNAcentral lists this ribosomal RNA (402 nucleotides) under uncultured bacterium. RNAcentral describes it as "bacterial SSU rRNA". It matches the Rfam family "Bacterial small subunit ribosomal RNA", at positions 29 to 478 of the family's 1533-position model. The record is from RNAcentral.